CAGAAGGUAGUUUAAUAAAAAUGCUAGUUUUGGGGACUAGUGAUAAGGGUUAGUUCCUUUCUUCUGA
Molecule: transfer RNA, 67 nt
Filed under: Acanthodactylus schmidti
Lineage: Eukaryota; Metazoa; Chordata; Lepidosauria; Squamata; Lacertidae
Description: tRNA-Pro
Rfam family: tRNA
About the family: Transfer RNA (tRNA) molecules are approximately 80 nucleotides in length. Their secondary structure includes four short double-helical elements and three loops (D, anti-codon, and T loops).
Source: RNAcentral